This 69-nucleotide transfer RNA is filed under the name Glyptosternon maculatum. RNAcentral's name for it is "tRNA-Ser". It matches the Rfam family "tRNA". Rfam says of the family: Transfer RNA (tRNA) molecules are approximately 80 nucleotides in length. Their secondary structure includes four short double-helical elements and three loops (D, anti-codon, and T loops). Lineage: Eukaryota; Metazoa; Chordata; Actinopteri; Siluriformes; Sisoridae. The record is from RNAcentral.
AGAAAGUGUCAGAGUGGUUAUGUGACUGGCUUGAAACUAGUCUACGGGGGUUCAAUUCCCUCCUUUCUU